Molecule: ribosomal RNA, 494 nt
Filed under: uncultured Flavobacterium sp.
Lineage: Bacteria; Pseudomonadati; Bacteroidota; Flavobacteriia; Flavobacteriales; Flavobacteriaceae
Description: bacterial SSU rRNA
Rfam family: Bacterial small subunit ribosomal RNA
Source: RNAcentral
AACUCUGAUCCAGCCAUGCCGCGUGCAGGAAGACGGUCCUAUGGAUUGUAAACUGCUUUUGUACGGGAAGAAACACUCCCCCGUGUGGGAGCUUGACGGUACCGUAAGAAUAAGGAUCGGCUAACUCCGUGCCAGCAGCCGCGGUAAUACGGAGGAUCCAAGCGUUUUCCGGAAUCAUUGGGUUUAAAGGGUCCGUAGGCGGCCUUAUAAGUCAGUGGUGAAAUCUCCUAGCUCAACUAGGAAACUGCCAUUGAAACUGUAGGGCUUGAAUUAUUAGGAAGUAACUAGAAUAUGUAGUGUAGCGGUGAAAUGCUUAGAUAUUACAUGGAAUACCAAUUGCGAAGGCAGGUUACUAACCUAAUGGAUUGACGCUGAUGGACGAAAGCGUGGGUAGCGAACAGGAUUAGAUACCCUGGUAGUCCACGCCGUAAACGAUGGAUACUAGCUGUUCGGAGCAAUCUGAGUGGCUAAGCGAAAGUGAUAAGUAUCCCACC